ACACAAACCCAAAAUCUGAUGUAUAAUUUUUUACUGGAGAUGAUACGUUCGAAGGACAGAUUGCUGACGUUAUUGGGUUCAUUGGUGACAUUGGCGACAAGAGGAAAUGAACUUGAUGUAAUGAUUACGUCAGCAAGUUGCUUGGUCACUGAUUUUUAUCUAAAUUGGGCUUGAGCGCAAGAUGAUGAAAUCGUUACUAUGCAGUUUCUAACAGUUAUAAUAUUGCCAUUCAGGAUGCAGGAAGGUAAUUUUAAAGAUUCGAUCUUUGGAAAUGAUGGAAGUAAAGUGCCUCCUGACGAUGACAUUAAAGAAUGUUGCUGGGAAUGGGUUGAAUGUUUUGAUGUAUUGUUCAGCUAAAAAUGCAUAAAUGACAUCUUUAAAUAAAAUAAUGCCCAUCAGAGAAAACAUGGAGCGGGGGCAAAGAAAAGAAAAUGUAAAGAGCGAUUAUUUACGUAGUAAUCUUAUUCAUCUUCUUUAUUAAAAGAAUUGAGUUUGAAAAUGGCUGCAAACUUAGUUCAAGGUAUUGAUAGAAUUCCUGGUCAACUUGGUUAUUUAGUUGUCAACUCUGAUGGAGCUGUUAUUGCUUCUGGAGGAUUUAGAAAAUGAAGAAAAUGUUGCAGAUGUCAUUGUUAAACUGUUAAAGUAUGCUACAAAAAUUCCUCUAUCUACUGAUGAUAAUCAAAAUUGCAAGAGGAUAUCAGUUGUUUACAAGGAUUUUACCUUGUCGGCUACUGUUUCUAGCAGCAAAAUUUAUGUCAUAAAAAAGGAAAAUGAGUUUCCAUGAUGGUAUGGGAUAAAAGAAGGAUUUUUUAAAUCACAAAAAUUUUGUUAAAAUACGUGGAUAUAUAUACUCAUGAUUGAGUCUGAUUGAGUUAUUAAUUCAUAUUAUAGAUAAUGAAAAAAUCUUGAACCUUCUUGA
This is an RNA transcript of Xenia sp. Carnegie-2017, 919 nucleotides long. It is a transcript of the gene named ragulator complex protein LAMTOR4 homolog, with no coding region annotated. The transcript has 8 exons. Lineage: Eukaryota; Metazoa; Cnidaria; Anthozoa; Malacalcyonacea; Xeniidae. The record is from RefSeq and is a predicted model, not a curated record.